RNAcentral lists this non-coding RNA (24 nucleotides) under Arabidopsis thaliana (thale cress). Lineage: Eukaryota; Viridiplantae; Streptophyta; Magnoliopsida; Brassicales; Brassicaceae. The record is from RNAcentral.
UCACUCCAUUUUGCUUCUACUGCC